RNAcentral lists this long non-coding RNA (3877 nucleotides) under Macaca mulatta (Rhesus monkey). RNAcentral describes it as "lncRNA (ENSMMUG00000059110.1)". The record is from RNAcentral. Lineage: Eukaryota; Metazoa; Chordata; Mammalia; Primates; Cercopithecidae.
GGGACGGGCCCUGGGCGCCAGGCUCCGCUGGAGGCGGUGCGGCGGGCGGCAGGCGGGGCCCUGUUCCCCAGCGUAGUGUGUGUUCCGGCCGCAGCCUCGCGCCAGCUGCAGCUCCUUGAUCCGAGCCGGAUCCUGAGCGUGGAACACGGGCUGAACCCGCGGCAGCGGCCCCGCCCCGGCUCUCCAUUGUUGAGGCUGCCACGGCUCUGUCGGCUGCUCAGCUGCGCUCCAGUCGGCGCAGGCGCCGCGGCUAGGAGCGAGCACUCGGAGGCGGCGGUCUGAGGUGAAAACGGGUAACGAGGUCUCUGGACCGGGCGGCGGUCUCUGCCCCGGGCGUGGCGGCUCCGAACUGGGCUCCGCAGGGUCCGAGGUCGGGAUCCGGGGUCCUUGCGCCUGGGCUUUGUCUCGGCCUCGGGUGGCAUCGGGGGCUUUGCCCCUGCUACGAUACCACGUGGGCCCGCGCGGGGGUCCCGGUCGCCCUGCCGGUAGGGGCCGGUCCCCACUGCUCCCCGGCUCCCCGCGUCUGCCGCGGAGGGGGCUGCAUGGACCCGGGUGCUGGCUUCUGAGCCGAGAUGACGUCACUGCACUCCAGCGUGGGCGACCGAGUGAAACUCUGUCUCGGAAAAAAAAAAACCUGGUCAAGUGUUUUACCCAGCCUAGGCCUCGUUGAGUUGUGUACAACAGAGAGCUCAGGUGUUGGGGGCAGUUGACCGGUUGAAGAAUGCAUUGCUAUUAUGUGAGGAACACUGGCCUUUGAAAAAGCAGAACUGGAUCCACGUUCUUGCCUGGUAACUCUAACUAUCAUCUAGUUUGUAAAGGGGAAUGCAGUUCACUGAAAAAUUCUUAGGACAGUGGGGAAAGGAUUGGGGUGUCUGCAUUGGUUUGUGUAAUAUAGGUCAUAUGAAAGAGCUUUUAGGCUGGAGAGAGACUUUUCACCUCUCUAACUUUACUUUCACAGGACAAUUCCAUCAUGAUUUGAAGAUUUUUGAGUGAAAACUACAUUGUUCUGCUAUGUGUUUCGGGGCAAAUUUAUACAUACAAUUUGCUUAAAUAUUUCAGAUGAUACAAGAAUAUAUGUGUGGGGUAAAAAGCUGAAAUUUGCAUUCCCCCUUCUCUAGAAGUAACCAUUGUGAAUAGUUAAGUCUGUUUUCCAGCUAUUUUGUAUACUAUAAUACACUGUGAACAUUUGAGUGUAUAUAGACAUGUAUGUUACACACAGUUUUAGAGAUGGAAUAUUCUCUGUUGCCCAUGCUAGUCUCAAACUCCUGGGCUCAAGUGACCCUCUCGCCUCAGCCUCCCAAAGUUUUGGAAUAACAGGCAUGAGCCACCGCGCCUGGCCUGCAUGAGUAUAUUUAGUAAUUGCUAAGUUACUCUGUUCAGUACGUGUCUAUUGAAGUCCCCCAUGUACCAAGCAUUAUUCUGAAUACCUUAUAUGCACCAAUUGACUUAAUUUUUAGAGCAGCUCUAUUAUUGUGGCCCUUUUACAGUGAGGAAACUGAACCACAGAGAGGCUGGGGACGUUGUCUAACAUCACACAGCCGGUGCUGUUGGAAUUGAGGUUUGAACCCAGACAGCUGGCUUCAGAUCUCUUUUCUGUUAUCAUAGAUGGCACACCCAAACCGUAGGGCCGCCUCCCAAGCCUUGCCUGAGCUCUGUCUGAGCUCUGCCUGAGCUCUGCGAGAGCAGUGUAUGUGAGGUUUCUUUCCUCUUUAAGAACACAAGUCUUGGAAUUGUCCCAGACCCUGGUAGGACCUCUUGAGGACCAAAAACAGGGAUUCUUCAAGCCUGCCCCAAGGGCUAGAUCUCUGAUUUAGCUACUUGGAAGGUAGAUGUAGAAGAGAGUAAUUUUACCAGAACAAAAAGUCAGGAUGGCUGGGCUGACUCGGCCAGAUGCAGUGGCUCAUGCCUGUAAUCCCAGCACUUUGGGAGGCCGAGACAGGUGGAUCACCUGAGGUCGGGAGUUCGAGAGCAGCCUGACCAACAAGUUGAAACUAUGUCUCUACUGAAAAUAUGAAAAUUAGCUGGGCGUUUUGGCGGGUGCCUGUAAUCCCAGGUACUUGGGAGGCUGAGGCAAGAGAACUGCCUGAACCCGGGAUGCAGAGGUGGCAGUGAGCUAAGAAUAUGCCACCACUCCAGCUUGGGUGACAGAGCGAGACUUCGUCUCAAAAAAACAGAAGGAAGGGCAAGGGGAAUGCCUAGGCUGACUCACAGGGAAGAGGCCCUACAGCAGCCGUAGGACCUUGGCCACUUGGGUGGAAAAGAAAGAAGGAAGAGCUUCACCCAUGGCGGUGACCUGGACUGCAGAAACCACACUAAACAGUCCACAUCCUGGAGCCUGGCCACCCCAUUUGCUUCUCUUCUUGGGUAGAGGGCGUGGGGAGCUUUCUACCCUGGAGGCUGAGCAGCGCAGCUUCUAACCAGGGUAGGUGUUUGUCUGUCCCUGGGAAUACAGACAGCAUUCUCAUAAGCAGCCCAAAUCCUCCUGAACAGCUUUUUGUAGGGUGCGGCGGGGCGGGGCAGAGGGUCAUUUUGACUCCUAGGUACCUUUUCCACUUUCACUGCUGAUAACUGUGUUACAGAUUAAAGUUUUGUUUUUGACACUGAAGAGGGCUUAAGAGAGUGAGCUAUUAUGGCACAUCUAAGUCUGCUAAAAUAGAACCACGGGGUAGUGUAGGAAAAUCUCUUCUAAAUUAUGGAUCAUAUAUGGUGAACGUUAGAAGCCAUGUGUACCUAAGUUGAAAAAUCAAACAUGUCUUUAUUUGGGUGACCCCGGUAAGUCUGGAUGUCACUGCGCCUUGUGUGAACACAGGAUGCUGAGGUGUAGGGAUCAACAGGCUUUUUCUGGACAUCUUGCGCUUUCCCUUGGGGUAAAGUGGGGCGGCAGUAGCAGCGCACAGCUGUUGGGCCCUGAUAUUUGUCAGUGGUUUACAUGUGGGAUUCCAUUUAAUGCAAUCUUGGAGGUAAAAUUAUGUUAUUGAAGAUGAAGAUAGAGGCUUAGAGAAGUUAAGAAAAUUGUUCAAGGUCACAUCAUUUGUUUUGUUUCGUUUUGUUUUGAGAUAGUUUUGCUCUUCUUGCCCAGGCUGGAGUGCAAUGGUGCGAUCUCGGCUCACCACAACCUCUGCUUCCCAGGUUCAAGUGAUUCUCCUGCCUCAGCCUCCCGAGUAGCUGGGAUGACAGACAUGCGCCACCAUACCAGGCUGAUUUUGUAUUUUUAGUAGGGAUGGGGUUUUUCCAUGUUGGUUACGCUGGCCUUGAACUCGCAACUUUGGGUGAUCCACCCAACUCAGCCUCCCCAAGUGCUGGGAUUACAGAUGUGAGCCACCACGCCUGGCCAAGGCCAUGUAAUUUCUUAAGUUGAAAGAUGAAGUACUGGAUGAACUCAGAAGUUUGACUUCAAGGCCCUCGAUCUUUCCAUAACACUUGGUUCCUUCCCUGGUUGGUGGGAGUGACUGAAGAAGUCAGGAAGCUGUGUUUUUGGAAAGAGGACCUGAGGGGUGUAUGGUCUUUCCAGGCUUGGAAUCUGCCAUGCUGGGCUUCUGAAUUGUAUAGCUUGACCAUAUAGAGAAGCCCCUCAUUUAAGACUUAUUCUUUGGGGAAAAUGAAGGAAAGCCGCCCACAUGAGACAGGCAGAGGCGACUUUCUCAGAGCUGCUGUGGCAAGAGAGUCGGCACCGUCACUUGCGUGUGGCAGAGACUGACUGCAAGUGAGUGGCGGAUGAGGAGUGGGGAAGCUUCAGGAUGGAAAGAACGGCCCCCAGUGGAGGCUGUUGUGGGGGCGGAGGCGGCUGUACAGAAGUGGGGUGUCCUAUGUGAUUGGGUAGGGGCAUAUUUGGCUUUCUCUGAAUGAUCCUAACUGGAAACACUGGGCCAAAAUUGGG